This is a non-coding RNA of Cinara cedri, 602 nucleotides long. Lineage: Eukaryota; Metazoa; Arthropoda; Insecta; Hemiptera; Aphididae. The record is from the annotation of a GenBank genome assembly.
AACUCAUUAAUUACAUUGAUCAAACAGACACCGCGUUAAUACUCGAAGUUUAUUAUUGACACUGUCGACGAGAUUACUUAUUCAAUAACACACUUGCAUACUGGGUAAAACAUAACAAGUGACCUGGUUUUAUUUCGUGUGUAGAAUGGUUUAUGUUCCCCCAGGAUAAAGUUUGUACGCAUUGUCGUAUAGGUAUUGCACAUGUUCAAUAUUUUCUCCCUGUACUCUGUCAAUUGUUUGUACGUUUUUUUUUUUUUCAAAGUAAAUAAUACGUCCGGUCCUCGCUACUACAGUAUUUAUUUAUCGUUUUUGUCAAAUUCGCUUUUACGCUGAACCAACGAGAAUGUAAUAAUAUGGACUGUGCCGUGAGCGAAAGAGCUUUUGCCGGCCGUUGCAGUUUAUAUAAUAAAAAUAUAAAAAAAAAAACGCCCUUGUUCGAUCGACGGAGUGCGAGAAAUAUUGUUACGAUACUUCGUGUUUUUGAAGAUGAUGCGAUAUUUUGUUUUUGACAUUUAUUGUCCGGCCGUUAUAUUAUUAUGAUGGUAUUGACAGCACUGCAGACAAAAUAUUUAUGAAAGACGAUGGAAGCUGAUGAUGACGUU